GAGUUUGAUCAUGGCUCAGGAUGAACGCUGGCGGCGUGCUUAACACAUGCAAGUCGAACGAACCUUCGGGUUAGUGGCGGACGGGUGAGUAACGCGUGAGAAUCUGCCCUCAGGAGGGGGAUAACAGCUGGAAACGGCUGCUAAUACCCCAUAUGCCGCGAGGUGAAAUGAAUUUCGCCUGAGGAUGAGCUCGCGUCUGAUUAGCUAGUUGGUGUAGGUAAUGGCUCACCAAGGCAUCGAUCAGUAGCUGGUCUGAGAGGAUGAUCAGCCACACUGGGACUGAGACACGGCCCAGACUCCUACGGGAGGCAGCAGUGGGGAAUUUUCCGCAAUGGGCGAAAGCCUGACGGAGCAACGCCGCGUGAGGGAUGAAGGCCUCUGGGCUGUAAACCUCUUUUAUCAAGGAAGAAGAUCUGACGGUACUUGAUGAAUAAGCCACGGCUAAUUCCGUGCCAGCAGCCGCGGUAAUACGGGAGUGGCAAGCGUUAUCCGGAAUUAUUGGGCGUAAAGCGUCCGCAGGCGGCCCUUCAAGUCUGCUGUUAAAAAGUGGAGCUUAACUCCACCAUGGCAGUGGAAACUGAGGGGCUUGAGUGUGGUAGGGGCAGAGGGAAUUCCCGGUGUAGCGGUGAAAUGCGUAGAUAUCGGGAAGAACACCAGUGGCGAAGGCGCUCUGCUGGGCCAUCACUGACGCUCAUGGACGAAAGCCAGGGGAGCGAAAGGGAUUAGAUACCCCUGUAGUCCUGGCCGUAAACGAUGAACACUAGGUGUCGGGGGAAUCGACCCCCCUCGGUGUCGUAGCCAACGCGUUAAGUGUUCCGCCUGGGGGAGUACGCACGCAAGUGUGAAACUCAAAGGAAUUGACGGGGGCCCGCACAAGCGGUGGAGUAUGUGGUUUAAUUCGAUGCAACGCGAAGAACCUUACCAGGGUUUGACAUCCUGCGAAUCUCUUGGAAACGAGAGAGCGCCUUCGGGAGCGCAGUGACAGGUGGUGCAUGGCUGUCGUCAGCUCGUGUCGUGAGAUGUUGGGUUAAGUCCCGCAACGAGCGCAACCCACGUCUUUAGUUGCCAGCAUUUAGUUGGGCACUCUAGAGAGACCGCCGGUGAUAAACCGGAGGAAGGUGUGGAUGACGUCAAGUCAUCAUGCCCCUUACAUCCUGGGCUACACACGUACUACAAUGCUACGGACAAAGGGCAGCAAGUUCGCGAGGACAAGCAAAUCCCAUAAACCGUGGCUCAGUUCAGAUCGUAGGCUGCAACUCGCCUACGUGAAGGAGGAAUCGCUAGUAAUCGCAGGUCAGCAUACUGCGGUGAAUACGUUCCCGGGCCUUGUACACACCGCCCGUCACACCAUGGAAGUUGGCCACGCCCGAAGCCGUUACUCCAACCCUUGUGGAGGAGGACGUCGAAGGUGGGGCUGAUGACUGGGGUGAAGUCGUAACAAGGUAACC
Molecule: ribosomal RNA, 1448 nt
Filed under: uncultured marine cyanobacterium
Lineage: Bacteria; Bacillati; Cyanobacteriota
Description: bacterial SSU rRNA
Rfam family: Bacterial small subunit ribosomal RNA
Source: RNAcentral